Molecule: microRNA, 38 nt
Filed under: Vombatus ursinus (common wombat)
Lineage: Eukaryota; Metazoa; Chordata; Mammalia; Diprotodontia; Vombatidae
Description: miRNA (ENSVURG00010007374.1)
Source: RNAcentral
CACACAGCUAGUAAUUGGCAGAGCCAGGAUUCAAUCCC